AUUUUGGAGCCGUAUCGGAAGCACAAGUGUCAUGGGCUGAAAGGCCGCCUUCUCCUGCGGGCUAAGGGUGUGGGCGACAGCUCGCACAUUCAAAUAAGGGAGCGAUUACACGGCGCUUGCUUCUGAAGACGGAUUUCCUGAGACUUUUAUGCGAGUGUGAGGGCCAGCAGGUGCACAUUUGAAGCUCAGUGGGAAGUGUUUUCCAAGCAACAGGAGACAGCAGAUGCAGAUGGGGUCCAAUUACUGCUGCUCACGGCUGAUCACGCCAUGCACUUGUGUGCGGAUACCUGGCUCCUGGUCUCAGGCACCUAGUAUGGGGCUAUGCACACGGGAACGCUCAUGGAUUCCUGAGAAGUUGGCUGGAACUAAGGGAGCAUUCAGAGACCACAGAUCCAGUUGACUGGUCCCUGCUGACAUCCAGUCCACGUUGUUGGCCACAUCAGCUCCUCUUCAAACUCAUGAUGCAAAUCAACAGCUAAACAUGUUGAUAUUUUUUGUUUCUCUCAGCUAAGUGGAUCCCUGAGUCCUCCUGGUGCAGUGGAAAGAUUUGAGUUUUGCAGCCAAA
Molecule: long non-coding RNA, 565 nt
Filed under: Homo sapiens (human)
Lineage: Eukaryota; Metazoa; Chordata; Mammalia; Primates; Hominidae
Description: long independently transcribed non-coding RNA 1422 (LINC01422)
Source: RNAcentral